This 1275-nucleotide long non-coding RNA is filed under the name Salmo salar (Atlantic salmon). RNAcentral describes it as "lncRNA (ENSSSAG00000119601.1)". The record is from RNAcentral. Lineage: Eukaryota; Metazoa; Chordata; Actinopteri; Salmoniformes; Salmonidae.
CUCUGCUGUUACGUGACACUUCCUACGGCUCCCAUGGGCUCUCAGAAGGCGGCAAAAAGCUGAAUCGUGGCUUUUCAGGCUCUGGCUGAAAAAAAGUAGCGCGUUUGGAUAGUGGCUGGUUACAGUACUGUGAGACUCAGGCUCGUGCCCGCGUCGACCCCAUGUUUUGUUUUCUUUCGUCUGUUUACCUAAACGCAGAUUCCCGGUCGGAAUAUUAUCGCUUUUUUAUGAGAAAAAUGGCAUAAAAAUUGAUUUUAAACAGCGGUUGACAUGCUUCGAAGUACGGUAAUGGAAUAUUUAGAAAUCUUUUGUCACGAAAUGUGCCAUGCUCGUGACCCUUAUUUACACUUCGGAUAGUGUCUUGAACGCACAAACAAAACGCCGCUGUUUGGAUAUAACUAUGGAUUAUUUUGAACCAAACCAACAUUUGUUAUUGAAGUAGCAGUCCUGGGAGUGCAUUCUGACGAAGACAGCAAAGUAAACCAGCAGCAUGAGAGAAGUUUGGACGGGAUCCCUCUCCAUGCUUACUCCAUUGGACUCAUGUCGUACUCCUGAUAGCUUCGACUGGAUGCUGUGUACAGGUUGCUGGCUUGGACUCAGGUCUCACGGUAGAAGUGGUGAAGGACCAUACUGAACGCCAUUGUCACCAUUACUUCAGCCGCUUAGAGGGGGUGUUAAGGGUCACACUGUUCUUGGUCAAAUUAUCCCUUCCAUGCAUCUAAUUAUUCCUUCCAUGCAUCACACCCUGAUCUGUUUAACCUGUCUUUGUGCUUGUCUUCACCCCCCUCCAGGUGUUGCCCACCUUUCUCAUUGUCCCCAGUGUAUUUAGACCUGUGUUCUCUGUUUGUCUUUUGCCAGUUAGUUUUUUUUUUCAAGCCUACUAGCGUUUUUUCAGGUGCUCCUGUCUGUCUCUAGUUCCUGUUUUCUAGCUUUCCCAGUUUUUACCAUUCUGCCUGUCCUGACCCUGAGCCUGCCUGUCGUUCUGUACCUUGUCACACCACCCUGGAUUACUGAACUCUGCCUGCCCUGACCCUGCCUGAAGUUAUGUACUUUUUGGACUCUGCUCUGGACUACUGACCUCUGCCUGCCCUUGACCUGUUGUUUGCCUGCCCCCUCUGUUUUUGUAAUAAACUUUUGUUACUUCGAAACUGUCUGCAUCUGGGUUUACUCCUGAGCCUUGACGUCUAGACACCAUCUGUGGUCACCUUCGCCAUCACCUCGAGAGAGGACAGACCAGAAAAACAGUUUAGUUUAGGGCUCAUUCAGGAAAUUCAG